RNAcentral lists this long non-coding RNA (853 nucleotides) under Chinchilla lanigera (long-tailed chinchilla). RNAcentral describes it as "lncRNA (ENSCLAG00000029217.1)". The record is from RNAcentral. Lineage: Eukaryota; Metazoa; Chordata; Mammalia; Rodentia; Chinchillidae.
AUGUGCGGGACCAGCCAGGGCAUCCUUCACAGCCUGCAGACCAGAGAGGUGCAGAAGGGAGGGACCAACAGAAUCCAAGCUAUGGUGGACACCAGGAGAAGUGAUGGGGAGUCUGGGGACCAUACAGCUCACAGAGCCGAUGCCAGAUGCCUGCGCCCGGAGGACACAGCAUCAGCACCAGGAUCAGCAGCCCUCAGGGCAGGACCGAAGGCUUUGUGGAUGAGGACCCAGGGACACGCAGGAGGAGAGACAAGUAACGAGCUCCCCGUCAGAAGCCAGGAUCCCUGCGAACCCAGGCUGCCCACGUGGCAGACCUCAGGAAACCGCAGUCUGUUCUCGUGACACUGACACAGUAAAAAUAACACAUCUGUCCCUGGGGACCAGAAACACCUGUGUCCUUCAGACCCCAGGACACUGCUCCAGGAGAGGCCACUGGGGAAGGGGUCAAGUGGGCUGCUUUAGACCACACUUUGCUCUUCUAGAAAAAGAGCAGGGGCAGGAGGUGGGGGAGGCAUGUCCAGGGCUCCCUGGGGGCUCCGUCCAGCCUGUGGAGGUCUCAUCUUGUCACUCGCCAACAGCUGCUGGGUACAGGGGCCGUGGUGGCUGCAUCCUUCCCACACGAGGUGGUCACGAGACACACGGAUAGGACGGGUGUGUGGUCUGCUCUCCGAGGACACGGAGGGGCUGGGGGGGGGACAGGGCCCUGCUGGCCACAAGGGUGGGAGGGGACGAUGGUUUAGCCACGAGGCUGCCCCCACCCUGAGAGCCCUCUUCCUCCCCAGCAAGCCUGGAAGGCCCCAGAGGGUACGGUCUCCUGCCCGGUUAAUUUACAGUGUUUGGAAUUCAUUAUGGA